GUUUAUGGCCAUGCCACCCUGAACAAGUCUGAUGUUUGAUCUUGGAAGCUAAGCAAGAUCAGGCCUGGUUAGUACUUGGAUAGGAGACCACCUAGGAAGACUAGGUGCUAUAGGCA
Molecule: ribosomal RNA, 116 nt
Filed under: Pteropus alecto (black flying fox)
Lineage: Eukaryota; Metazoa; Chordata; Mammalia; Chiroptera; Pteropodidae
Source: RNAcentral